CUGUAGGUUCAAGCUGCUUUUGGCCGUGAAGCACGCAAAGUUCUGCUGUUAGUAGGCGUGUAGGGAGGAGGCAUUGUCUGGGCUGUACGUUAAGCGAAAUUGCCCUCUUUGAGCAACGUGCUGUGCUUCCUGGAAAGCUUACAUCGAAUCUUUUGCCUGUCCGGAGGGGAAGACCUGGCCGUUGCAGGCCGUAGUCAACAGUGAAUCAACCAAACAAAUAAUUUGGCAUUUUAAAACUGUUCCGUACCUUGACAGCCAAACGUUUUUGGUGCUUUUUGACAAGUAAUAACAAGGACGCUUGGAAUGGAAUAAACAAAGAAUGGCACCUGGGAGAGAAAGUGAUGCAGCGUUUGUUUACAUUUCCCAGAGCGUAGUUUUCAUUAUUCUUUGUUAAACACAGAUUCACUCAUGAGAGUGACAGAGUUUCUGUUUCCAGGAUUUCGGCACAAGAAGAGAGACUGGCUUGAUGAAACGAUAGGAGAAAUGGAAGCUUCAGUUCAAGAUCACCUGAAUCCAGCUAAGAUCAUUGCGAUGGAGGAGCUACCACUGAUGAGUGAGCACUAUAUGGGCAGUGAGUUGAGGUGAGAACAAAUCCUGCUUUCAUGGAAUACAUUGGUUUUUAAAUCAGGAAAAUAUUGCUAGUCAGAAGAUUCUGUAAACCAUUUUAAAUACUCUAGUUAUAUGCUUCGUAAUGAAUAAAGGGUAGGCAAUUUUAAGCAGGAUAUAGGAUUAGAGAGAUAAAAUUAUAACUGGGAAAAUGAAAUAAUUUAUUUGGAGAAAACUGUGAGGAUGAAAAAAAAAAAAAAAAAGGAAAAAAGAUGGCCUUUACCAAAGCUUGCUUUUAAAACUUCUAAUACAAAGAAGAUGAUCUUGAAAGAACCAUCACACUUACAUAAUCACAGGAAGUAACUUAUUUACUGUUUUUUGUUCCAAAUAUAAAUAGAUAAAAGAUAAAACCCAUAUGAAAGUAUUAAUGUUCACCUAGCAUGAUUUCCUGAAUAAUAUGGACUAUGGAAUUUAACCAGUAUUAACCAGUACUUGGUAACUACUGACCUGUACUGAAACUAAGAAACAAAGAACAAUUGUGUCUUUUACUAUCACAGACUAAGGAGCUAAUGUGAAAAGAAAUAUGAUGUCAUUAAAGAUAUGCUUUGUAAGAAAUCUAUCAAAAAGAGUCAGACAGAUUAAGUAUUAAAAAUUUAUAAUCAUCUUCAUAUGAAAAGGAUGUCCCUGGCUCCCUUAUUUGUCAUUGUCCUCAAUUAAGUAGGAAAUAGGGCUCUUCAGUGAGUUCUGCAC
RNAcentral lists this long non-coding RNA (1296 nucleotides) under Aquila chrysaetos chrysaetos. RNAcentral's name for it is "lncRNA (ENSACCG00020014474.1)". Lineage: Eukaryota; Metazoa; Chordata; Aves; Accipitriformes; Accipitridae. The record is from RNAcentral.